Molecule: ribosomal RNA, 292 nt
Filed under: uncultured bacterium
Lineage: Bacteria
Description: partial 16S ribosomal RNA
Source: RNAcentral
GGACUACAAGGGUUUCUAAUCCUGUUUGCUCCCCACGCUUUCGCGCCUCAGUGUCAGUUACAGGCCAAAAAGCCGCCUUCGCCACUGGUGUUCCUCCUAAUCUCUACGCAUUUCACCGCUACACUAGGAAUUCCACUUUUCUCUCCUGCACUCAAGUUUAACAGUUUCCAAUGACCCUCCACGGUUGAGCCGUGGGCUUUCACAUCAGACUUAUUAAACCACCUGCGCGCGCUUUACGCCCAAUAAUUCCGGACAACGCUUGCCACCUACGUAUUACCGCGGCUGCUGGCAC